Molecule: transfer RNA, 72 nt
Filed under: Bos taurus (domestic cattle)
Lineage: Eukaryota; Metazoa; Chordata; Mammalia; Artiodactyla; Bovidae
Also listed under: 2 other names
Rfam family: tRNA
About the family: Transfer RNA (tRNA) molecules are approximately 80 nucleotides in length. Their secondary structure includes four short double-helical elements and three loops (D, anti-codon, and T loops).
Source: Rfam by way of RNAcentral
UCCCUUGUAGCUCAGUUGGUAAAGAAUCUGCCUGUAACGCAGGAGACCCGGGUUUGAUCCACGGGUAGGGAA